RNAcentral lists this ribosomal RNA (468 nucleotides) under uncultured bacterium. RNAcentral describes it as "partial 16S ribosomal RNA". It matches the Rfam family "Bacterial small subunit ribosomal RNA", at positions 28 to 507 of the family's 1533-position model. The record is from RNAcentral.
GACGAACGCUGGCGGCGUGCUUAACACAUGCAAGUCGAACGGAAAGGCCCUGCUUUUGUGGGGUGCUCGAGUGGCGAACGGGUGAGUAACACGUGAGUAACCUGCCCUUGACUUUGGGAUAACUUCAGGAAACUGGGGCUAAUACCGGAUAGGAGCUCCUGCUGCAUGGUGGGGGUUGGAAAGUUUCGGCGGUUGGGGAUGGAUUCGCGGCUUAUCAGCUUGUUGGUGGGGUAGUGGCUUACCAAGGGUUUGACGGGUAGCCGGCCUGAGAGGUUGACCGGCCACAUUGGGACUGAGAUACGGACCAGAAUCCUACGGGAGGCAGCAGGGGGGAAUAUUGCACAAUGGGGGGAAGCCUGUGGCAGCAACGCCGCGUGCGGGAUGACGGCCUUCGGGUUGUAAACCGCUGUCGCCUGUGACGAAGCGUGAGUGACGGUAAUGGGUAAAGAAGCACCGGCUAACUACGUG